This 4510-nucleotide long non-coding RNA is filed under the name Octopus vulgaris (common octopus). Lineage: Eukaryota; Metazoa; Mollusca; Cephalopoda; Octopoda; Octopodidae. The record is from RNAcentral.
AAUUAUUAUUAUUAUUAUUAAUAUUUAUUAAUUAUUAUUAUUAAUUAUUGUUAUUAAUUAUUAAUUAAAUAACCUUUUUGUAUUCACAGUUUAUGAGUUGACUGCUGGGAAAUGAAAAAAACAACAACAAUAAAAACAACAAAAUGAAGCUCCCUCUCCGAAAUAAGGGUCUGAAGACUUUCCAGAAAUUAUGUUGAUUAUUGUAAUUAUUUUCACCUUUCAUCCCUUGGGAGUUGAUAAAUUAAAGGACCAGUCAAGUACUGAGAUGAAGGCACACGGCCUGGUGGUGAGGGUGCAGUGCACUGUGUUCUUGAGCAAAACACUUCACUUUACUUUGCUCCAGUCCUCUCAGCUGUAAAUGAGUGAAUCUACGAUGGACUGGCAUCCCAUCCAGGGGGAAUGUAAUGACCACAGUCACUUACACAAUUGGCUAACUGGCCCCUCACAAUCCUAGACAGUAAAAUGCCCACAUCUAAGUAAUGGGAGUGUCAAUACCACGUACUUGCCCCACCCUUCAAAAUUGCUGGCCUUGGGCCUCAAUCAGAAAGCAAAGCAUUAUUAUUAUUAUUAUUAUUAUUAUUAUUAUUAUUAUUGGAGGAAAAGUAGUAGUGGUGAUGUUGGUUACUAAUUACAGACUAAAAGUACAGCAAACAAAAGACAGAUAUUCUAAACAGUUUUUGUUUUUCUGUUUUUCUAAACCUCUGCAGACAAAAUAUGAUGGAAACACAAGAGAAAACCUGUCUUUAUAUUAACCAUUAUCUGUAAUUUUGCCUCAUAUAUACAUAUACAUAUAUAUAUAUAUAUAUAUAUAUAUGGGUAAUAACCUUAAAGUGUAAUUUACAAAGCCCCUCUGUAGAUAUUGGCUACCAUAUGCUAUCACACAAUAGGAAUUCUCCUUUCACUGGAUAUACAUGUGGAAAUUCAUAAAUAUCCAUUGAGUCCAUACAAAAGAUAUGACAAUACAAGAAGAUGGAAUGAACAGGUUUUAAUCCAAAUCACUACAAUCGUUUCUGUGCCUUAGUAUCAGCUGGUAAUUGCUCAGCGAGCAUCCUGUCAGGCAUUUAGUACCUUGCGCUUAGAAAAGUCCCUAAUUCCUAACAAAUACAGAGGUACCCUAUAAAUAACAUGGUACCCUGUGUGUACCCAGGUUCUCCAUGGUGGUAUAUUUCACUAUGACAAGCCACUUAAUACCACCCGGAGUGCUGAGUUCAACGGAACUCUUAGCCAAAGAUGGUUGGGCAGAAACCACUCAGCUGACUCGAUGGACAUACAGGAUAUAAAGAGAUUAUGCAAAGACAAAGUCUUCAGCAGUGUCAUAAUAACUCAUGGGUAGGUGGGGGGAAUUCAUCACACACACACACACAGCAUUUACAUAUACAUACAUACAGAUAUAUACAUAUAUAUAUGUGUGUGUGUGUGUGUGUGUGUGUGUAUCUGUAUGUAUGUAUAUGUAUAUAUAUAUAUAUAUAUAUAUAUAUAUAUAUGUGUGUGUGUGUGUGUAUCUGUAUGUAUGUAUAUGUAUAUAUAUAUAAAUGCAUGCACACAUACAUAUAUGUAUACAAAAAUACAUACAUAUGCACACACUUACACACAUAUAUACACACACAGAUACAAACACACAGAUGAGACAUCAGGUGUGUUUAAGGGGAAAAUGUAUGUUUAUAGCUGUAUAUGGAGAGAGACAGAGAGAGAGAGGGAGAGAGAGAGAGGGAGAGAGAGAGAGAAAUAGAGAGAGAUGUUUAAAAGGUUAUGGGGAUGAUGGUUGUUGUUGUUGGGGGUGGUGGUGAUGGUGGUGGUGAAGAGGGUGGUGGAGAUAUAGGGGUGUGUUGAGCUGGAAAAGUUUCUGUUUGUAUAAGGCAGGAUGGAAUAGGUUUAAAAACAACAACAACAACAGUAAUAAUAAUAAUAAUAAUAAUAAUAAUAAUAAUAAUAAUAAUAAUAAUAAAGGCACAAGCAAUGGUUUUAAGGUGUAUAAAAAUGAAGUAAAUAUAAGAGAGAGGUGUCCAAGUGGACAAGGUACAGGGGUAUCAGUUAGGGUGAGACAGGGGUCCAUAGACUUUCCUCAGCAACCUAAAUACUUAUAUCUCUGUGGCACAGUCCAUCUAGGCUAAACACAUAAGUACAGAUAGGUUUUUUUUUUAUAAACAGUGGUAGCACUGUAAAACUGAAGAGUGUGUUAGGUGUUGUUGUUUAGCCCAAGGUCAGCUCUGAUUGAGACAAUCACGUAUUGAGCACGUUCACACUUUGAUCACCCUGUCAUCGCAUGUGUGCGUGCGUGUGUAUACACACAUAUAUAUAUAUAUAAUUGUCAUCCUUUAUAUACAAGAUGACGAUAAUAUAUACACAACAACUACGUUUGUUUUUAUGUCAGGUUAAAACGAUUUUGCCUUAAAAUGAAGGAUUUUUCCAUACUUUUUAGCAGGGGACAUUUUUAUUGAACUUAUACAAGGAAAAGGUCCAUCAUGAUGAAGGGAGAACUGCGAAGUCACUGUCAACUUUUCCUUGUAAAAGUUUAAUUCGCAAGGAUAUACACAUACAUACACACACACAUAUAUAUAUAUAUAUAUAUACAUAUAUAUACAGACAUAUAUAAGUAUAUAUGGACUCUCCUGUCAGUUUUGACGUAUGAGUGUGUAUAUAUAUAUAUAUAUAUAUAUAUAUAUAUAUAUAUAUAGACAUACAUAUACAUACAUACACACACAUAUAUAUAUACAUACAUACAUAGAUAGACACACACUGAUGGCAUUACAUCAGUCAAUAUGUAUGUCCUUCCUUCGUUUCAUAAAUGAUCAGGUGUGGAAGCUUGAGGGAGAUUUAGUUGCUAUUUCUAGCAGACCAAACAACCACUUAAUUCCUUCCUUCCUUCAGUGCUUUGGGACAUCUUCAUCCUGUACAAGAGAAGGUCCAUCCACUGUCAGCUAUUCCAGAGGAAGUCCUUAGUGAUGCCUCUGUCACAUAAUACAUGCCUCGACCCAUGAAAAACAGCAUCAAGUGGAAUCUGAGAUGCAGUUUCAAUUCUGAGUCAGGAACGUUUUUUUUUCUUACUUAUAUUUCUACAUUACAAAUCUAGUGAACAAGGCAUGAACUCCACACAUUCACAUUUAUCCUCUCUGCUAUUUUCUAUAUGAGACACCAAAUAUAGUGAAAGGAUGUUUAGGACUUGGAGAGUAUCGUUUCAGUAGAGAUGGCUAAUAGUUAACGAUGAGUGUUGAGAGGUAGUUAAUUAAUGCAACACCUGUCUAAUACAGGUGUUUAUUUUACUGAAUCCUACAAUGACAAAAGGCAAAGUCAUGAUUCGCGAUGCUAGAAAUUCUAUCGAGAUCAGAAGGGAGUUAAAUACUGAAAGGUAUUAUAAUUUAAGGGUCUGCUCUUUUUGUUAAGUCCCUAUAAUAAUAAUAAUAAUGAAAAGGCCUGUGGCUUAGUGGUUAGGGCAUUUGUUUCAUGAUGGUAAGGUCAUGUGUUCAAUUCUCAGCAAUGCUUUGUGUCCUUGAGCAAGACACUUACUUCCUUCCCCAAAAUUACUGGCUUUGAGCCCAAAUCCAAAACACCUAUUAUUAUUAUUAUUAUUAUUAUUAUUAUUAUUAUUAUUAUUAUUUUAAUGAGCCUUGAGAGAUGAAAGUAAAGUUGAUGCCCAUAGAAUAUGAAGUGAAACGAGAGAGGGCAAAGUUGAGUCCUGAUGGCAUCUGAACCAACUUGAGAACAUUUCUAUAACAUUCACAGCCAAUCAAUCAAUAAGGUGACUCAAUAAUUUACAAUACAGGUAACAGGUGAGAGAUUUGGAGAAAGGAGUGGGGUGUAGUGCAUUGAUCACCCAGCCCCUGGACCUGACUGGUUUUCUAUUGUAUAGACCCCCCUAGUGGGAUGAACAGUAUAUUUUACCUUAGCAAGAUUUGAACUCAGAACAUAUAGAACCAAACCUUUCUAUUAUAGGCACAAGGCUUGAAACUUUGGGGGGGGGAGGAGGAGCUAGUCAAAUACAUCGACCUCAGUGCAUAACUGGUACUUAAUUUAUCGACCCCGAAAGGAUGAAAGGCAAAGUCGACCUCGGCGGAAUUUGAACUCAGAAUGUAAAGCCAAACGAAAUACUGCAAAGUAUUUCGCCCGGAGCGCUAACGCUUCUGCUAGCUCGAUACAUACAUAUAUAUACAUACACACUUAUAUACAUAGACACGUGUGCAUGUGCACACACACACACACACAUAUAUAGAUGCACACAUACACACGUACCACAUGUUUGUUGUGUCGAGGAAUGUUUAAUAAACAACAUACCAUUGUAAUUAUUUGUUUCAAUGCAGAAAUAUAGGAAACAAAACAACAAAAAAAACAGGUGCAAAAACCAGGGAAAUAAAACAAACAUAUUUGUGAAGAAUUUCUUUUGUAAACAGCACCUUCCCACCCAAAACAUACACCCGCAGUAAAACUAAACACCCUACAUACAUACACACAUACAUAUACAUACAUAUAUAUAUACAUAUACAUACAUAUAUAUAUAUAUAUACAUAUACAUACA